UACGUAGGGUGCGAGCGUUGUCCGGAAUUAUUGGGCGUAAAGAGCUUGUAGGCGGUUUGUCGCGUCUGCUGUGAAAAUCCGGGGCUCAACCCCGGACUUGCAGUGGGUACGGGCAGGCUCGAGUUCGGUAGGGGAGACUGGAAUUCCUGGUGUAGCGGUGAAAUGCGCAGAUAUCAGGAGGAAGACCGGUGGCGAAGGCGGCCUGCUGGGCAGUUACUGACACUGAGGCGCGACAGCGUGGGGGAGCAAACAGG
Molecule: ribosomal RNA, 254 nt
Filed under: uncultured bacterium
Lineage: Bacteria
Description: partial 16S ribosomal RNA
Rfam family: Bacterial small subunit ribosomal RNA
Source: RNAcentral